Homo sapiens (human) is the source of this 2155-nucleotide long non-coding RNA. RefSeq lists it as uncharacterized. The transcript is spliced from 2 exons. Lineage: Eukaryota; Metazoa; Chordata; Mammalia; Primates; Hominidae. The record is from RefSeq and is a predicted model, not a curated record.
GUUGCCAAUGCAGGAGGAUUGCUUGAGCCCAGGAGUUUGAGACCAGCCUGGGCAGAAUAGCAAGACUCCAUCUCUGCAAAUAAUAAAAUAUUAACCAGGUGUGGUGGUGCGCACCUGGGGUCCCAGCUACCUGGGAGGCUAAGGUGGGAGGUUUGCUUGAGGCUUCAGUGAACUGUGAAUGCACCACUGCAUUCCAGCCUAGGCCACAGAACAGGACCUUGUUUAUAAAUAAAGAAAUAAGUAAAAAUAUAAAUAAAAAGUAAAAAUAACUAUAAGUAAAUAUAAAUAUAAAAAUGCAUACAUGAAAAGAAACAAUUUUUAAAUUUAACAUCACUGAGGGCAUCCUAUCCAUUUCAUUUCAUGAUUCCAUUACAUCAUUUCACUUAGAUGAAAUGAUGAGAUGAAAUGAUGAGAUGAAAUGACGAAAUGAUGAGAUGAGAUGAUGAGAUGAAAUUUUGAGAUGAAAUGGUGAGUAGAAAUGAUGAGAUGAAAUGAUGAGACGAAAUGACAAAAUUGAAAAGAAAUUGAAAGGAGAGGAGAUGAGAUAAAAUGAGAUGAAAUGAGAUGAUGGAUGAAAUGAGAUGAAACGAGAUGAAAUGAAAUAAUGAAAUGAUAUGAAAUAAUGAAAUUGUAAUGAGAUGAUAUGAGAUGAAAUAAUGAGAUAAAAUGAUGAGAUGAGAUGAACGAUGAGAUGAAAUGAUGAAAUGAAAUGAGAUGAAAAAUGAUGAGAUGAAAAAUGAGAUGAAAUGAAAUAAUGAAAUGAGAUGAAAUGAAAUGAAAUAAUGAAAGGAAAUUAUGAAAUGUAAUGAUGAAAUUGAAAUGAGAUGAGUUGAAAUGAUGAGAUGUAAUGGUGAAAUGAAAUGAUGAAAUGAGAUGAGAUGAAAUGAGAUGAAAUAAUGAGAUGAAAUGAGAUAAUGAGAUGAGAUGAAAUCAUGAGAUGAAAUGAUGAAAUGAAAUGAAAUGAUGGAUGAAAUUAUGAGAUGAAAGAUGAAAUGUAAUGAGAUGAAAUGAAAUGACAUAAUGAAAUGAAAUAAUGAAAUGAGAUGAAAUAAAAUAAUGAAAUGAUGAAAUAAUGAAAUGAAAAUGAAAUGGAAAUGAUGAGAUGAGAAGAAAUGAUGAGAUGAAAUGAUGAAAUGAUGAGAUGAGAUAAAAUGAGAUGAAAUGGUGAGAUGAGAUGAAAUAUGAUGAGAUGAAAUGACAUAAUGAAUGAAAUGAUGAAAUGGAAUAAUGAAAUGGAAAUGAUGAGCUGAGAUGCAAUGAGUUGAAAUGAGAUGAAAUGAUGAAAUGAUGAGAUGAAAUGAUGAGAUGAGAUGUGAUGAAAUGAUGACAUGAAAUGAUGACAUAAAAUGAGAUGAAAUGAGAUGUAAUGAUGGAAUGAGAUGAGAUGAAAUGAGAUGAAAUGAUAGAUGAGAUAAAAUGAUAUGAAAUGAUGAGAUGAAUGAUGAGAUGAUGAGAUGAAUGAUGAAAUGAAAUGAUGAGAUGAGAUGAUGAAAUGAAAUGGUGAGAUGAAAUGAGAUGAAAUGAAAUAAUGAAAUGAAAUUGAAAUAAAAUCGAAAUGAGAUGAGAUGAAAUGAUGAGAUGAUGAAAUAAAAUGAUGAAAUGAUGAGGUGAUGAGAUGAAAUGAUGAGAUGAAAUGAUGAGAUGAGAUGACAUGAAAUAAUGAAACGAAAUUGAAAUGAGAUAAGAUACGAGAUGAGAUGAAAUGAUGAGAUGAAAUGAAAUGAUGAGAUAAGAUGAAAAGAGUUGAUGAGAUGAUGAGAUGAAAUGAGAUGAAAAGAUGAAAUGAUGAGAUGAAAUGAUGAGAUGAAAUGAGGUGAAAUGAAAUUAGAUGAAAUGUAAUGAGAUGAAAUGAAAUGACAAUGAAAUGAAAAAAUGAAAUGAAAUAAUGAAAUGAGGUGAAAUUAAAUGAGAUGAUGAAAUUAAAUGAUGAAAUGAAAUAAUGAAAUGGAAAUGAUGAGAUGAAAUGAGAUGAAUGAUGAGAUGAAAUGAUGAGAUGCAAUGAUGAGAUGAAAUGAUGAGAUGAGAUGUAAUGAUGAGAGGAAAUGAGAUGUAAUGAAAUGAGAUGAAAUGAAUGAGAUGAAAUGAAAUAAUGAAAUUGAAUUGAGAUAUGAGAUGAAAUGAGAUAAAAUGAGAUGAAAUAAAUGAUGAGAUGAAA